RNAcentral lists this ribosomal RNA (618 nucleotides) under Pseudomonas lactis. RNAcentral's name for it is "bacterial SSU rRNA". It matches the Rfam family "Bacterial small subunit ribosomal RNA", at positions 230 to 840 of the family's 1533-position model. The record is from RNAcentral. Lineage: Bacteria; Pseudomonadati; Pseudomonadota; Gammaproteobacteria; Pseudomonadales; Pseudomonadaceae.
CCUAGGUCGGAUUAGCUAGUUGGUGAGGUAAUGGCUCACCAAGGCGACGAUCCGUAACUGGUCUGAGAGGAUGAUCAGUCACACUGGAACUGAGACACGGUCCAGACUCCUACGGGAGGCAGCAGUGGGGAAUAUUGGACAAUGGGCGAAAGCCUGAUCCAGCCAUGCCGCGUGUGUGAAGAAGGUCUUCGGAUUGUAAAGCACUUUAAGUUGGGAGGAAGGGUUGUAGAUUAAUACUCUGCAAUUUUGACGUUACCGACAGAAUAAGCACCGGCUAACUCUGUGCCAGCAGCCGCGGUAAUACAGAGGGUGCAAGCGUUAAUCGGAAUUACUGGGCGUAAAGCGCGCGUAGGUGGUUUGUUAAGUUGGAUGUGAAAUCCCCGGGCUCAACCUGGGAACUGCAUUCAAAACUGACUGACUAGAGUAUGGUAGAGGGUGGUGGAAUUUCCUGUGUAGCGGUGAAAUGCGUAGAUAUAGGAAGGAACACCAGUGGCGAAGGCGACCACCUGGACUAAUACUGACACUGAGGUGCGAAAGCGUGGGGAGCAAACAGGAUUAGAUACCCUGGUAGUCCACGCCGUAAACGAUGUCAACUAGCCGUUGGAAGCCUUGAGCUUU